GCCCUCAUAGCUCAGUCGGUAGAGCGCACCCUUGGUAAGGGUGAGGUCGGGGGUUCAAGUCCCCUUGAGGGCU
This 73-nucleotide transfer RNA is filed under the name Chloroflexota bacterium. RNAcentral's name for it is "Chloroflexi bacterium (hydrothermal vent metagenome) tRNA-Thr". It matches the Rfam family "tRNA". From Rfam's summary of the family: Transfer RNA (tRNA) molecules are approximately 80 nucleotides in length. Lineage: Bacteria; Bacillati; Chloroflexota. The record is from RNAcentral.